GGUGGGGCUUCACCACGUUGGCCAGGCUGGUCUUGAACUCCUGAGCUCAAGUGAUCUGCCUGCCUUGGCCUCCCAAAGUGCUGGGACUAUGGGCUUGAGCUACUGUGCCCAGCCGUGCCUGCCUCUUUAGACACAUCAAAAUCCGCCUCUGUGAUUUUUGCUUAUGGCCAUAUAGAGGCAAUUUGAGGUUCACCAACCACAAGGGAAGUAGCUCCCUGCCUUCAUGAGGCUCUGAUACACUAUAAACCUUCCAUUCAGAACCUGUGAUGGAGUCGAGUGUGUAGCCCUAGCUACUUGGGAGGUCAAGGGAAGAGGAUCACUUGAGCCCAGGAGUUUGAGACCAGCUUGAGCAAUGCGAACUGGAAAUAUCGACAAACAGCACUGAAGGCUCCUGGUCUACCACAGGAGGUGAUCUCUAGUGAAGAAGGUUGAGAUUUGCAUGCAGAAUUUCCAGAAUGCUGAAUAUCAGCACGGAUCACUGCAAAGAAGUUGGAACUCAUCUCACAUGAACUUCUCAGGUUCUCUUACAAGACCACCAACAUUCUUCAAACAUCAGUGAAAUAAAACAGGAGGAGGGUUUCGAGCUCUGGAUCCUCAGCCUGGAAAUGUCACAAUUUAAUCCCAAAGGUUUGCUGUGAAGUUGUAAGCAUGACAGUGUGAAACUCGACAGAUUAUUCUUGAAUUCUUUGNUUGGUUUCGUUGNGACCCGACUCUCAUAAAAUUUAUGNUUUCUU
RNAcentral lists this long non-coding RNA (734 nucleotides) under Homo sapiens (human). RNAcentral's name for it is "Long intergenic non-coding RNA BX118339". The record is from RNAcentral. Lineage: Eukaryota; Metazoa; Chordata; Mammalia; Primates; Hominidae.